This 301-nucleotide ribosomal RNA is filed under the name uncultured bacterium. RNAcentral describes it as "partial 16S ribosomal RNA". It matches the Rfam family "Bacterial small subunit ribosomal RNA", at positions 509 to 809 of the family's 1533-position model. The record is from RNAcentral.
CAGCCGCCACGGGAAUACGUAGGUGGCGAGCGUUGUCCGGAAUCAUUGGGCGUAAAGGGAGCGCAGGCGGGCAUGUAAGUCUUUCUUAAAAGUUCGGGGCUCAACCCCGUGAUGGGAAAGAAACUACAUGUCUUGAGUACAGGAGAGGAAAACGGAAUUCCCAGUGUAGCGGUGAAAUGCGUAGAUAUUGGGAAGAACACCAGUGGCGAAGGCGGCUUUCUGGACGGCAACUGACACUGAGGCUCGAAAGCCAGGGGAGCGAACGGGAUUAGAUACCCCAGUAGUCCCUGUCUCUUAUACA